Molecule: RNase P RNA, 350 nt
Filed under: Bacteroidales bacterium
Lineage: Bacteria; Pseudomonadati; Bacteroidota; Bacteroidia; Bacteroidales
Description: RNase P RNA component class A
Rfam family: Bacterial RNase P class A
About the family: Ribonuclease P (RNase P) is a ubiquitous endoribonuclease, found in archaea, bacteria and eukarya as well as chloroplasts and mitochondria. Its best characterised activity is the generation of mature 5'-ends of tRNAs by cleaving the 5'-leader elements of precursor-tRNAs. Cellular RNase Ps are ribonucleoproteins.
Source: RNAcentral
ACAGUCGGACGGUCUGUCGCCGUUGCCUCAUCGGGGCAAAGGAGGAAAGUCCGGGCAGCACAGAGCACUCCACUUCCUAACAGAAAGCUGCUUGCGAAGGCAGAGUAACGCAGAAGAAAAUAACCGCCCGCAAGGGUAAGGGUGAGAAGGUGGGGUAAGAGCCCACCGGCCGUGCAGCGAUGUACGGGCCGUGUGUCUUGGAGGCUGCAAGUUCAUGUAAACCGGCACUUGAGGGUUGCUCGCCCGAGCCGGAGGGUAGAACGCUUUAGCAAUGUGGUGACAUAUUGCAUAGAUGAAUGACAGACACCCCGCAAGGGGCACAGAACCCGGCUUACAGGCCGACUGUUCAA